GGGUUGUGAGGUUAAGCGACUAAGCGUACACGGUGGAUGCCCUGGCAGUCAGAGGCGAUGAAGGACGUGCUAAUCUGCGAUAAGCGUCGGUAAGGUGAUAUGAACCGUUAUAACCGGCGAUUUCCGAAUGGGGAAACCCAGUGUGAUUCGACACACUAUCAUUAACUGAAUCCAUAGGUUAAUGAGGCGAACCGGGGGAACUGAAACAUCUAAGUACCCCGAGGAAAAGAAAUCAACCGAGAUUCCCCCAGUAGCGGCGAGCGAACGGGGAGCAGCCCAGAGCCUGAAUCAGUGUGUGUGUUAGUGGAAGCGUCUGGAAAGGCGCGCGAUACAGGGUGACAGCCCCGUACACAAAAAUGCACAUGCUGUGAGCUCGAUGAGUAGGGCGGGACACGUGGUAUCCUGUCUGAAUAUGGGGGGACCAUCCUCCAAGGCUAAAUACUCCUGACUGACCGAUAGUGAACCAGUACCGUGAGGGAAAGGCGAAAAGAACCCCGGCGAGGGGAGUGAAAAAGAACCUGAAACCGUGUACGUACAAGCAGUGGGAGCACGCUUAGGCGUGUGACUGCGUACCUUUUGUAUAAUGGGUCAGCGACUUAUAUUCUGUAGCAAGGUUAACCGAAUAGGGGAGCCGAAGGGAAACCGAGUCUUAACUGGGCGUUAAGUUGCAGGGUAUAGACCCGAAACCCGGUGAUCUAGCCAUGGGCAGGUUGAAGGUUGGGUAACACUAACUGGAGGACCGAACCGACUAAUGUUGAAAAAUUAGCGGAUGACUUGUGGCUGGGGGUGAAAGGCCAAUCAAACCGGGAGAUAGCUGGUUCUCCCCGAAAGCUAUUUAGGUAGCGCCUCGUGAAUUCAUCUCCGGGGGUAGAGCACUGUUUCGGCAAGGGGGUCAUCCCGACUUACCAACCCGAUGCAAACUGCGAAUACCGGAGAAUGUUAUCACGGGAGACACACGGCGGGUGCUAACGUCCGUCGUGAAGAGGGAAACAACCCAGACCGCCAGCUAAGGUCCCAAAGUCAUGGUUAAGUGGGAAACGAUGUGGGAAGGCCCAGACAGCCAGGAUGUUGGCUUAGAAGCAGCCAUCAUUUAAAGAAAGCGUAAUAGCUCACUGGUCGAGUCGGCCUGCGCGGAAGAUGUAACGGGGCUAAACCAUGCACCGAAGCUGCGGCAGCGACGCUUAUGCGUUGUUGGGUAGGGGAGCGUUCUGUAAGCCUGCGAAGGUGUGCUGUGAGGCAUGCUGGAGGUAUCAGAAGUGCGAAUGCUGACAUAAGUAACGAUAAAGCGGGUGAAAAGCCCGCUCGCCGGAAGACCAAGGGUUCCUGUCCAACGUUAAUCGGGGCAGGGUGAGUCGACCCCUAAGGCGAGGCCGAAAGGCGUAGUCGAUGGGAAACAGGUUAAUAUUCCUGUACUUGGUGUUACUGCGAAGGGGGGACGGAGAAGGCUAUGUUGGCCGGGCGACGGUUGUCCCGGUUUAAGCGUGUAGGCUGGUUUUCCAGGCAAAUCCGGAAAAUCAAGGCUGAGGCGUGAUGACGAGGCACUACGGUGCUGAAGCAACAAAUGCCCUGCUUCCAGGAAAAGCCUCUAAGCAUCAGGUAACAUCAAAUCGUACCCCAAACCGACACAGGUGGUCAGGUAGAGAAUACCAAGGCGCUUGAGAGAACUCGGGUGAAGGAACUAGGCAAAAUGGUGCCGUAACUUCGGGAGAAGGCACGCUGAUAUGUAGGUGAAGUCCCUCGCGGAUGGAGCUGAAAUCAGUCGAAGAUACCAGCUGGCUGCAACUGUUUAUUAAAAACACAGCACUGUGCAAACACGAAAGUGGACGUAUACGGUGUGACGCCUGCCCGGUGCCGGAAGGUUAAUUGAUGGGGUUAGCGGUAACGCGAAGCUCUUGAUCGAAGCCCCGGUAAACGGCGGCCGUAACUAUAACGGUCCUAAGGUAGCGAAAUUCCUUGUCGGGUAAGUUCCGACCUGCACGAAUGGCGUAAUGAUGGCCAGGCUGUCUCCACCCGAGACUCAGUGAAAUUGAACUCGCUGUGAAGAUGCAGUGUACCCGCGGCAAGACGGAAAGACCCCGUGAACCUUUACUAUAGCUUGACACUGAACAUUGAGCCUUGAUGUGUAGGAUAGGUGGGAGGCUUUGAAGUGUGGACGCCAGUCUGCAUGGAGCCGACCUUGAAAUACCACCCUUUAAUGUUUGAUGUUCUAACGUUGACCCGUGAUCCGGGUUGCGGACAGUGUCUGGUGGGUAGUUUGACUGGGGCGGUCUCCUCCUAAAGAGUAACGGAGGAGCACGAAGGUUGGCUAAUCCUGGUCGGACAUCAGGAGGUUAGUGCAAUGGCAUAAGCCAGCUUGACUGCGAGCGUGACGGCGCGAGCAGGUGCGAAAGCAGGUCAUAGUGAUCCGGUGGUUCUGAAUGGAAGGGCCAUCGCUCAACGGAUAAAAGGUACUCCGGGGAUAACAGGCUGAUACCGCCCAAGAGUUCAUAUCGACGGCGGUGUUUGGCACCUCGAUGUCGGCUCAUCACAUCCUGGGGCUGAAGUAGGUCCCAAGGGUAUGGCUGUUCGCCAUUUAAAGUGGUACGCGAGCUGGGUUUAGAACGUCGUGAGACAGUUCGGUCCCUAUCUGCCGUGGGCGCUGGAGAACUGAGGGGGGCUGCUCCUAGUACGAGAGGACCGGAGUGGACGCAUCACUGGUGUUCGGGUUGUCAUGCCAAUGGCACUGCCCGGUAGCUAAAUGCGGAAGAGAUAAGUGCUGAAAGCAUCUAAGCACGAAACUUGCCCCGAGAUGAGUUCUCCCUGACCCUUUAAGGGUCCUGAAGGAACGUUGAAGACGACGACGUUGAUAGGCCGGGUGUGUAAGCGCAGCGAUGCGUUGAGCUAACCGGUACUAAUGAACCGUGAGGCUUAACCUUACAACGCCGAAGGUGUUU
RNAcentral lists this ribosomal RNA (2933 nucleotides) under Escherichia coli. RNAcentral describes it as "23S ribosomal RNA". It matches the Rfam family "Bacterial large subunit ribosomal RNA". Lineage: Bacteria; Pseudomonadati; Pseudomonadota; Gammaproteobacteria; Enterobacterales; Enterobacteriaceae. The record is from RNAcentral.